This 167-nucleotide ribosomal RNA is filed under the name Nemanthias bicolor. RNAcentral describes it as "partial 12S rRNA". The record is from RNAcentral. Lineage: Eukaryota; Metazoa; Chordata; Actinopteri; Perciformes; Anthiadidae.
CACCGCGGUUAUACGAGGGACCCAAGUUGAUAGCCUGCGGCGUAAAGCGUGGUUAAGAUAAAAUUAUAGUAAAGCCGAACAUAAACAGUGUUGUUAUACACCAACGGCAACAGGAAGCCCAAUUACGAAAGUAGCUUUAUAUAACUGAAGCCACGGAAGCCAGGGAA